Molecule: unclassified non-coding RNA, 168 nt
Filed under: uncultured Dactylella
Lineage: Eukaryota; Fungi; Ascomycota; Orbiliomycetes; Orbiliales; Orbiliaceae
Description: sequence contains ITS1
Source: RNAcentral
CCAAAAUUUAGCUGCUCUGGUUUAGGCCAGUAGCACGCUUCAACCCUUUGUGAACCAAAAACCUUUACGCUUCGGCAGCUGGCCUUACAGCUGUAAGCCUGCCGACGGCACCAAUUUAAACUUGUAUUUUGAACAUUGUCUGAACUAAACAUUUUCGAAUGAAAAUUA